CAAAUGUCGGUGUGCUCUCAUGAACAGAAACGAUGGCACGGUGGGUCCUGGUCUCAAGACUUCCUCUCAAUGAUUCAGAGGUCUUGGGGGUUUUUUGUCUGAAUAUCAGGCAAAGAGGAAGGACGGCUACAAUGGAGGAGUCUCCUACCACGCUUGUGGUCGUCACUGUAGUGCUCAGUUGAAUGGUGUGUCCAUUGGGGUUGGAGUCCCCAUCCUGUUCUGGGUCCUGGCCCCCCACAGGCUCCAGGGACAUAACCCUUCCAGUUCAGGAUCAUGUGCUGGGGCACUGUUCCCUGAGGUGGGACUCUGGGCUGUAACAGCUGCUUUUGAAGCAUGUUCCAGCUUCAACCACGUGCUUGGACGACACCAGCUCUUCCCACAUACUCUUCCCCAGCUCUUGUGUUGAGUUUGGCUUCCACCUUCCUCCAGCUGUAGAGACAGGGUUUCUCCAUGUGGGCCAGGCUGGUCUCGAAAUCCUGGCCUCAAGUGAUCUGCCCUUCCUCGGCCUCCCAACAUGCUGGGAUUACAGGCUCUGCCUCCUCUGUCGAAAAUUCAAGGCAGGCGGAAUGCAGUGCUGCCCCUGACACACACCACAGUAGCGACUCCAGUCUUCAUCUGAGAUGAUGGCACAGACAGUGUUUCACUCUUGUUGCCAAGGCUGGAGUGCAGUGGCGCCAUCUCAUCUCCCUUGCAAUCUCUGUCUCCUGGGUUCAAGUGAUUCUCCUGCCUCAGCCACCCUAGUAGCUGGGAUUACAGGCACCCGCCACCACGCCUGGCUAAUUUUUUUUUUCAGUAGAGGUGGGAUUUUGGGGUUUCGCCAUGUUGUCCAGGCUGGUCUCAAAUGCCUGGCCUCAGACAUACACCCACCUUGGCCUCCCAAAGUGCUGGGAUUACAGAGACCAUGAUGUUUUUUACUUUCAGCACAGUAUUCAAUAGAUUACAUAAAAUAUUUAACACUUGCUUGUGCUGAAUGAUUUUGACUAACUGUAGGCUAAUCGAAGCGUUUUGAGCAUGUUUAAGGUAGGCAAAGCUAAGCUAUGAUGUUUAGUAGAUGAGGUAUAUCAAAUGCAUUUUCAACCUAAAAUAUUUUCAACUAACAAUGGAUUUAUUGUGAUGUAACUUUACUGUAAGUUGAGAAGCAUAUGUACGUGUGUAUACAGAUACCUAUAUAGAGAGAUAUCUAUAGAUAUAAAUAUAUAGACAGAUUGAUGAUAGAUAGGUCAAUAGAGCAAAUCUUGCUUUAGGAAAAUCUGAAACAUCUUAAUAUCCCUUGGAAACAAGAUGGUGUAGUAAGCUGUUCCGGCAUCACUAUAAAGAAAUAUCUGAGGCUGUGUAAUUAGUAAGAAAAGAGGUUUAGUUGUCUCAUGGUUCUGCUGGCUGUACAGGAAGCAUAGGGCUGGCAUCAGCUUCUGGGGAGGCCUCAGAAAGCUUCCAAUCAUGGGGUAAGAAAAAGGGGGAGCAGGUGUCUUACAUGGCAGGAAUGGGAGCUAGAGGGUAGGGGGAGGUGCCUCUGGAUUUAAACAACCGGAUCUCACAAGAAAUCACUCACUGUUGCAAAAACAGCACCAAGGAGGGAUGGUGAUAAGCCAAUCAUAAGAAAUCCACCUCCACGAUCAGUCACCUCCCACUCAUAAGAAAUCCACCUCCAUGAUCAGUCACCUCCCACUCAUAAGAAAUCCACCUCCACGAUCAGUCACCUCCCACUCAUAAGAAAUCCACCUCCACGAUCAGUCACCUCCCACUCAUAAGAAAUCCACCUCCACGAUCAGUCACCUCCCACUCAUAAGAAAUCCACCUCCAUGAUCAGUCACCUCCCACCAGGCCCCGCCUCCACGAUCAGUCACCUCCCACCAGGCCCCGCCUCCAACACUGAGGAUAACAGUUUAACAUGAGAUUUGGGGGAACGAAUAUCUAAACUAUUUCAAUUAAUAAUGGGCUAAUAAAGCCAAGUCAACUCUUAUGGGAACAUCAUCGGACGCUUGUCAAGAUAUUAGGGAAGAAUGCUGAGAGAGGGGGUGGAGCGGGCACACGGAAAGAAACAGAGAUGGGAGCACUCUCCACCCUCACAGCACCAUGAGGGAAGUAGCCUUGACCUUGAUAUUCCCACAGGAACUCAGGGUGCUGAGCUUGUAUUGCCGACAUCAUCAUUUUUCUGAACAAGCCUGGGUAAGUCUCUACUGCCUGUAAACAAAAGAGGCGUGGCUAGAAUGAAAAUCAUGCUAGGUGAAGAAUCGUGAUGCAAAUUGGCUUUUAUGUAUUAGGCCAACUUUGUAAAAGAUAAGCACAC
Molecule: long non-coding RNA, 2287 nt
Organism: Homo sapiens (human)
Lineage: Eukaryota; Metazoa; Chordata; Mammalia; Primates; Hominidae
Source: Ensembl